CGUGGGGUUGAGCAGCAGGUGGCUGACGCUGGAUUCCAGCUCCAGCAGGCUGGGCAGGUAGGUGUAGCGGUUGAUUUCGCUCUCCACGGC
RNAcentral lists this transfer RNA (90 nucleotides) under Pseudomonas solani. Its description in RNAcentral is "Pseudomonas sp. Sm006 tRNA-Trp". The record is from RNAcentral. Lineage: Bacteria; Pseudomonadati; Pseudomonadota; Gammaproteobacteria; Pseudomonadales; Pseudomonadaceae.